GAUGAACGCUGGCGGCGUGCCUAAUACAUGCAAGUCGAGCGAACAGACGAGGAGCUUGCUCCUCUGACGUUAGCGGCGGACGGGUGAGUAACACGUGGAUAACCUACCUAUAAGACUGGGAUAACUUCAGGAAACCGGAGCUAAUACCGGAUAAUAUAUUGAACCGCAUGGUUCAAUAGUGAAGGACGGUUUUGCUGUCACUUAUAGAUGGAUCCGCGCCGCAUUAGCUAGUUGGUAAGGUAACGGCUUACCAAGGCAACGAUGCGUAGCCGACCUGAGAGGGUGAUCGGCCACACUGGAACUGAGACACGGUCCAGACUCCUACGGGAGGCAGCAGUAGGGAAUCUUCCGCAAUGGGCGAAAGCCUGACGGAGCAACGCCGCGUGAGUGAUGAAGGUCUUCGGAUCGUAAAACUCUGUUAUUAGGGAAGGACAAAUGUGUAAGUAACUAUGCACGUCUUGACGGUACCUAAUCAGAAAGCCACGGCUAACUACGUG
This 497-nucleotide ribosomal RNA is filed under the name uncultured bacterium. Its description in RNAcentral is "partial 16S ribosomal RNA". It matches the Rfam family "Bacterial small subunit ribosomal RNA", at positions 28 to 507 of the family's 1533-position model. The record is from RNAcentral.